ACUGUAAUAUUUAAGUUUUAAUAAUAAAAUAAUACUCUAACCAUUAGUCUCAAUUGUUCCAUAUUUAGUGUUUCUCUUGUUUGUAAGAUAACAUAAUGAUAGUUCUUUGUAUGGGCUAAGAAAGACCAUGUAGAUUUGUAAAAUUGCGGGCCGGGCCCCUAGGCCGUGACUUUUAAUGGCCCAUUGACACGUCUGAUUGGGCGUUCUUAAACACCAAUAUAAGAAGAUACUAGUGCCAAGGUUGUACGUUGGUCUUCGUCAAAUUCUUUACUUGGCGGGAAGGCCCAAACAAAGUUCUGGAAGUUCAGCUUUUUUUACAAUGUUAGGGAUUCAAGCAAGAGUUAAGAAUGAAAAAAGUAGAAUAAAAAAAGUAAAGCAAUCAUUACAAUAAUUAAUACGACAUCUGAGCAAUUUACAGUUGAUAAUGGAGCUGCUGAAGUUGUCCAAAUUCAGGCUCCAUCGUCAAGUCCUAAUCACCGAAGCUCGACAUGUCAGAGUAAACUUUAUCCAUAUUCAAGUCUCGCUAAUCUCUAUUAUUAAAUGAUUCACUUAUUUUUUAUAAUAAAUAAAUAUAAGAAAGAUAGCGCACGGCGACUGAACAAAUUCAAGUUUUAUUCGAGAAACAAAAGCAAACUGAGGAGGAAUAUUCUAGAAAGUUACAGGAAUUACAAGCGGAAUUAGCUUAGUCCAAGGAAUCUCUCGUCAAAAACUUGAUAGACAGGUGAGUUUCCUUCAAAUCGACAAUGCAUUGCUUGAAAACAAGCAAAAGGAGUUGAAGGAAACUAUAAAUAGAUUGCUUCAAUCUAGGGAAAGUUUCCUUAACGCUUACAAGGAAUCUACUUGUGAUGUGAAACGUUCAAUUGAAACCAGAGAUAGAAAGUUCAGUUUCCUAUAUGAGAAGAUGAACUCUCACUUGAAAUUAUUUGAUUCAAUAGAAAAGGAGACAUUUUCCAUCAAGCAAUUUGUGGAUAAUGCGGAACUCCUUUUGCUAGCUUAAAGAGCAAAAUGGAAAAGGCCUCUUUGUUUGAAAAAGUCUUUGUUGAAAAGAUUUCUCUCCUGGAAAGUAAACUAAAAUAUGACAAGGAUGAGUUUAGAAGAAAGGAUAAACUUAUUUCAGAACUAGAAGCUGAGCUCGAAGUGGCAAAAGUUAGUAAUGACCGCCAAAGUCAGAUUGAAGAGAGAUCCAAAGAAGCAUUACGAGAUCUUUCUGUUCUUUAUAUUCUUAAGAAUCAAGUUACACUGUCAGCCAAAGUUAUUUCUUAAAUUUGUGAGCUUAACCAGCCUUACCUCCAGAAAACUGUAUCAGCAAAGGAUAUUGUCAUACAAAACCUGAUCUCUGAGAAAGAGGCGUGAAUUUAAAAUUCUAUUUUCAUUAAAUUUCUGUGUAUCUGAGUUGAUGGUCUUUCUAAUUAUAUGUUCGAAUACACUAUAAUUGGGCCUUGUAUAUGGAGUUCAGGAGUUUAGGAAUUCUUUUGCAGAGAAUUCAUGACACCGUUGCUAAUAUGAAUCAAGAGGAUAAGAAGGUAUUCCGCAAAACAUUAGUGCUUAAAGGAGAGUGUAACAUGGGUACACCAAACGAUUAUAACAGGAGUACAAACAUUUGACAUUCAGUUGGAGAACAAUAACUUGAAACCAUUUUUGUUCUUUCAUAAUGAACUUGAUUGGAUGAGUUUCAAACCAAAGUUCAUUAGGAUAACUGCACUGUUCUAAGCAGCAUGUAGAUUCUGCGUGCUCGAUGAUCCAAGCAGAGAGCUCAGAAGAUGCAGUUUAGAAUUCCACCAGGCUCAGCGUGAGAUCGUCUUCCUACAUCGUGUUCUGAUGGCGUAUGAAGAUGUCUGCAUAUUUUCUAAAUAUUCUAGAAGUAUCAAUCUGGUCAAGAUUUGGGAGAGAACUGAAAUGCCUGUCAUUGUCAUCACAGCGCAUGAGGAAAACUUCAAACUUUUUGUAGGAAAAUUCGUGUUGCGGAGAGGGACGAGAGAAACAGAUUUUUGUAUAGCGCGAAGCUAGCUAGGCCUAUAGCUAUAAGAAACAAGAGUGGAUGGGCAUUUGGUUUUGGGCCUCUUAAAUUGAGAGGUUAACAGGGACGGCACGUUACCUGACCGCUUCCCCAAAAAUCAAUUAAUAUCUUUCUCAGAGUCUGAGCCACAAGUCAGGGUCAGGGGAGCAUUCAGUUCUGAAAACCUGAAAUUAAAUUUUCUACUGACAGCCCAGCGUCUUUUAAACAGUUUUGUCAGUCAAUGUUCAGGUGUACUAUCUUUUUACUCUUUUUAACGUUGAUUGUUUGAGUUUAAGCACAAGGCAACUCAAGCCAGGUUAAAACAAAUGAGUUAAGGACAAUUUCGAACA
Mangifera indica (mango) is the source of this 2346-nucleotide long non-coding RNA. RefSeq lists it as uncharacterized. The record is from RefSeq and is a predicted model, not a curated record. Lineage: Eukaryota; Viridiplantae; Streptophyta; Magnoliopsida; Sapindales; Anacardiaceae. The transcript has 11 exons.